Molecule: non-coding RNA, 148 nt
Filed under: Nomascus leucogenys (northern white-cheeked gibbon)
Lineage: Eukaryota; Metazoa; Chordata; Mammalia; Primates; Hylobatidae
Source: Rfam by way of RNAcentral
GCCGGGCGUGGUGGCACGUGCCUGUAAUCCCAGCUACUCAGGAGGCUGAGGCAGGAGAAUCGCUUGAACCCGGGAGGUGGAGGUUGCAGUGAGCAGAGAUCAUGCCACUGCAUUCCAGCCUGAGUGACAGAGUGAGACUCUGUCUCAA